CAGAGGGGGCAAGCGUUGUUCGGAAUUACUGGGCGUAAAGGGCGCGUAGGCGGCCUGCUAAGUCGAACGUGAAAUCCCCGGGCUCAACCCGGGAACUGCGUCCGAUACUGGUUGGCUUGAAUUCGGGAGAGGGAUGUGGAAUUCCAGGUGUAGCGGUGAAAUGCGUAGAUAUCUGGAGGAACACCGGUGGCGAAGGCGGCAUCCUGGACCGAUAUUGACGCUGAUGCGCGAAAGCCAGGGGAGCAAACGGGAUUAGAUACCCCGGUAGUCCUGGCCCUAAACGAUGAAUGCUUGGUGUGGCGGGUAUCGAUCCCUGCCGUGCCGAAGCUAACGCAUUAAGCAUUCCGCCUGGGGAGUACGGUCGCAAGGCUG
RNAcentral lists this ribosomal RNA (372 nucleotides) under uncultured organism. RNAcentral describes it as "bacterial SSU rRNA". It matches the Rfam family "Bacterial small subunit ribosomal RNA", at positions 526 to 896 of the family's 1533-position model. The record is from RNAcentral.